Cricetulus griseus (Chinese hamster) is the source of this 1677-nucleotide non-coding RNA. The record is from RefSeq and is a predicted model, not a curated record. Lineage: Eukaryota; Metazoa; Chordata; Mammalia; Rodentia; Cricetidae.
GGUGCUGAAUGAGCCUGGCCAGGCAGGGAGCGCUGAGCCCAACCGGUUCGGUUCCUAGCAGGCUUCUCGAUCCCAAUUUCUGCCCCUCCCCAGCAAGAGCUGUUGUGUUCCGUCUUUUAAAAAAGACUGAAAAUUUUUUCGCCGUUGUCUAACAAACAAGAAUACCAAAAGAGUCCCAAUAGCGUAGGAAUAAAGCACUCAAGCAUUUGAGCCAGUUUGGUUUUUAAAGAGUUUCAGUAAUGGGUAACAGAGGAGAAAAGUGAAGAAAUAAAGAUGCAGGCUGUCUGCUACAUUAAGUUGCUAGAGUUAGAUUAAAUUGACGGGGGGGGGACGACUGAAUUGUUGAGGGAAAUAAAGAUGAUAGGGGAAGAUUCUUUACCUGGAGUUUAGGGAAUGGACAGAGUUCGGGGGGGGGGGUGUCUAUGUCUAUCACCCAUAUGACUUGAUCACUUUAAAAUCUGUCCACAGCCACCUUUGCUGUACCCUCCAUGCUGCUCUUUGAUUCAGUCAUACAUUGUGUUUUGUUUGCUAUUUCUGCUGCACCACCCGUUCCAGCCACGGCCUUUCCCCAUCACUGCAUUAGAUUUCCCCCCAUCUCUUUCCUUCCUGUUCUUUCCAAUCCUUUUUUUUUUUUUCUGUUUGUCUUUUUCUAAUCUGUCACAUUUAUUUCCCUGGAGUCAAUUUGCUAAAAUUAAGGUGAUCAUCUACAGCACAGCAGGAGUAAUUUGGGCUCGCAUCUCUGAAAAUUGCUCUAAUUAUUGAUGUUAAACUCAGGGAAAUUAAAAGAAGCCACUUCUCUUCCAUCUCCCAAUUUUUAAGCUCUAAUUUGUUGAUAUCUAGUCGUCAUCACAAUUCCAAUCACUACUGCUAAUAGCAAAAGUGUCUUAACGGAGACUGAGUCCUCACAACCCAUGCUAUUAGAUAAUUAGAGGAGGUGCUGUGAAGUCAAGUGUUAAUCCUUGGGCACUGCAGUAGGAUUUCCAUCUGAUCUAGCAGGUAGAACAAAUUAAUUACCAGAAUCAAUUAGGCACCAAACUUCAGUGCUUCAGGAAGUGGAAGUGUCCUAUUCCACAUGGACACACGGGUAAGCAGAUAGGAGAGGAAGCAGAAGAAAGCGUGGUGGGGAGAUAGGGAAAUAAAGUCUUGGUAAGAAGGCAUGUAAAUGAAGUCGGAACUGUUUCUCUUUGUCUGAGAGGUGACUUGUGUUUUGAAGUUUGUAAUAGUAAGAAGAGAAGGUGGGAGAGGAGAUGACCACCGAAAGGGGGAUAGUAGAGUUUACAGAAGUUCCCUGACCAAGUCAUCGUCCUGGCCAAGUCAUCGCUUAUGGUACUGAGGGAGAUGAAGGAAAACGUUGAAGGGGCGCUGAGGUGACGAUCCACACAAUGGAAGUCCAUCCAUCUCUACUCUCAGUGCUCCCUUCUAGCUGGGUACUUUAUUUUAAGCACUACCCAAGUGGAUGACAUGUCUACAAAAAGAACAGGAGUCGCUGGCUGCUUCUAGCAAAUGCAUCUUCAAAACAAAUGCUUUUGUGCAGGAAGUUAGGAUGUGAACCCUCAUGAGAAACACAUUCAAAGAUGCUGCAUUGAAAACCCAGCAUUUCUAAUGUGACAAGGGCUAAAUUCAACCAGUUUGCUCAUUGAUGGAUGAAUGGUCUAUAAAGGUAUAAGAUCUUCUGUU